Molecule: ribosomal RNA, 436 nt
Filed under: uncultured bacterium
Lineage: Bacteria
Description: partial 16S ribosomal RNA
Rfam family: Bacterial small subunit ribosomal RNA
Source: RNAcentral
AACGAACGCUGGCGGCAUGCCUAACACAUGCAAGUCGAACGAGAUCCUUCGGGGUCUAGUGGCGCACGGGUGCGUAACGCGUGGGAAUCUGUCCUUAGGUUCGGAAUAACAGUUAGAAAUGACUGCUAAUACCGGAUGAUGACGUUAAGUCCAAAGAUUUAUCGCCUGAGGAUGAGCCCGCGUAGGAUUAGCUAGUUGGUGUGGUAAAGGCGCACCAAGGCGACGAUCCUUAGCUGGUCUGAGAGGAUGAUCAGCCACACUGGGACUGAGACACGGCCCAGACUCCUACGGGAGGCAGCAGUGGGGAAUAUUGGACAAUGGGCGCAAGCCUGAUCCAGCAAUGCCGCGUGAGUGAUGAAGGCCUUAGGGUUGUAAAGCUCUUUUACCCGGGAUGAUAAUGACAGUACCGGGAGAAUAAGCCCCGGCUAACUCCGUG